Molecule: ribosomal RNA, 433 nt
Filed under: uncultured bacterium
Lineage: Bacteria
Description: partial 16S ribosomal RNA
Rfam family: Bacterial small subunit ribosomal RNA
Source: RNAcentral
AACGAACGCUGGCGGCAGGCCUAACACAUGCAAGUCGAGCGCGCCCUUCGGGGUGAGCGGCGGACGGGUGAGUAACGCGUGGGAACGUGCCCUUUUCUACGGAAUAGCCUCGGGAAACUGAGAGUAAUACCGUAUACGCCCUUUGGGGGAAAGAUUUAUCGGAAAAGGAUCGGCCCGCGUUGGAUUAGGUAGUUGGUGGGGUAAUGGCCUACCAAGCCGACGAUCCAUAGCUGGUUUGAGAGGAUGAUCAGCCACACUGGGACUGAGACACGGCCCAGACUCCUACGGGAAGCAGCAGUGGGGAAUCGUAGACAAUGGGGGCAACCCUGAUCGAGCCAUGCCGGGUGAGUGAUGAAGGCCUUAGGGUUGUAAAGCUCUUUCAGCUGGGAAGAUAAUGACGGUACCAGCAGAAGAAGCCCCGGCUAACUCCGUG